CCCUUAGAUGUCCUGGGCUGCACGCGCGCUACACUGAUGUGUCCAGUAAGCACCUAACCUCUUCCGAAAGGAACGGGUAACCUUUGCAAAGCACAUCGUGAUGGGGAUAGAUUAUUGCAAUUAUUAGUCUUGAACGAGGAAUUCCUAGUAAGCACAAGUCAUCAGCUUGUGUUGAUUACGUCCCUGCCCUUUGUACACACCGCCCGUCGCUCCUACCGAUUGAAUGUUCAGGUGAGCCAUUCGGACUUUCAUCAUGCUGGUUUCCAGUUUUGAUGAAGGAAAGUCUUGCGAACCUUAUCAUUUAGAGGAAGGAGAAGUCGUAACA
This 325-nucleotide ribosomal RNA is filed under the name uncultured eukaryote. Its description in RNAcentral is "partial 18S ribosomal RNA". It matches the Rfam family "Eukaryotic small subunit ribosomal RNA", at positions 1470 to 1796 of the family's 1831-position model. The record is from RNAcentral.